This 74-nucleotide transfer RNA is filed under the name Mustela putorius furo (domestic ferret). It matches the Rfam family "tRNA". From Rfam's summary of the family: Transfer RNA (tRNA) molecules are approximately 80 nucleotides in length. Their secondary structure includes four short double-helical elements and three loops (D, anti-codon, and T loops). The record is from Rfam by way of RNAcentral. Lineage: Eukaryota; Metazoa; Chordata; Mammalia; Carnivora; Mustelidae.
GUCUCUGUGGUGCAGUUGGUUAGUGCACUGGGCUGUUAGCCAAAAGGUUGGUGGUUCAAUCCCACCCAGGGAUG